UUCCUUGGAAAAGGACAGCUGAGAGGGUGAAACUCCCGUCCGCCUGGUAGAAUGAGUCUUUGUCAACGAGUCGAGUUGUUUGGGAUUGCAGCUCUAAUUUGGUGGUAAAUUCCAUCUAAAGCUAAAUAUUGGUGGGAGACCGAUAGCGUACAAGUACCGUGAGGGAAGGAUGCAAAGAACUUUGAAAAGAGAGUUAAAGAGUACCUGAAAUUGCUGAAACGGAAGCGAAGGAAACCAGUGUUUGUUGGUUCAUAUUUCCUUGGCCACUUGUGGUUUGGGCG
RNAcentral lists this ribosomal RNA (281 nucleotides) under Pseudo-nitzschia fraudulenta. Its description in RNAcentral is "partial 28S ribosomal RNA". It matches the Rfam family "Eukaryotic large subunit ribosomal RNA", at positions 186 to 475 of the family's 3401-position model. The record is from RNAcentral. Lineage: Eukaryota; Bacillariophyta; Bacillariophyceae; Bacillariales; Bacillariaceae.